CACAACGAAACCGCACACUCUGCUGCCUCGAUUUCCCCAUUGGAACCAUUCCCCAAGACUCCCAGAUCUCCUUCCCCUUCUCACCUGAGCGGAUUUGUUGCAGGGUCCGGAUUGCAAGAAUCUAGCGAUCAGGCUAAUUCUCUGGAGCGCAGAGGCCCUCUGGGUUCACUUUCCUGCCUGGGCUUCUAAGACCCUCUUGAGAAGGCACUCUGCACCUUCACCUGCCUCGAGAGGGUGCCUGAGGACUUCGUGAACAGAGCAAGCCCCAUGUCAGGGACUUUAUUGGUUUUCUGCAUAAACCAAGGAAUAUCAGCCUCUUUCUCUAUCCUUUACUUUCUUAUCAUCGACUCUGGACCACCAGGUUCAGUCCAUUAAAGGACCUCAACACAAUGGAAGUUAUCUUGUCUGAAAGCAACUGAAUCCAGAUAAAAAAAAAAAAUUUCAAAUCCACACGGAAAACAAAACUCAAUGGCAAAGAUAACUGGAUGAAUUACAAAAGACAGUAAAAAUAUAUUUCUCCUAUAUUGUUGAAUUAUUUUAUGAUUGUAUAAAAUAAAAUGUUUAACAUA
Bubalus bubalis (water buffalo) is the source of this 569-nucleotide long non-coding RNA. RefSeq lists it as uncharacterized. NCBI's taxonomy places the organism in Eukaryota, Metazoa, Chordata, Mammalia, Artiodactyla, Bovidae. The transcript is spliced from 2 exons. The record is from RefSeq and is a predicted model, not a curated record.